GUUUGUACCUUUUUGUAAUGUUGAGGUUGAUUGGGUGAUAAAGUGCAUAUUAAGCAUUUUUUAGGGGUGAGAGUAGAAGUAAGGAUGACAUUUAAGUGACUCCAGGUGAGAUUAUAGGACUGGGUUAAGUAUCAGAACAUCUUUAUUU
Sapajus apella (tufted capuchin) is the source of this 148-nucleotide long non-coding RNA. RefSeq lists it as uncharacterized. NCBI's taxonomy places the organism in Eukaryota, Metazoa, Chordata, Mammalia, Primates, Cebidae. The record is from RefSeq and is a predicted model, not a curated record. The transcript has 3 exons.